Molecule: ribosomal RNA, 411 nt
Filed under: uncultured bacterium
Lineage: Bacteria
Description: bacterial SSU rRNA
Rfam family: Bacterial small subunit ribosomal RNA
Source: RNAcentral
GCGGCACGCCUAACACAUGCAAGUCGAACGAAGUAGCAAUACUUAGUGGCAGACGGGUGAGUAACAUGUAGGUAUCUGCCCUUUGGCCUGGAAUAACACGAGGAAACUUGUGCUAAUACCGGAUAAGUCUUUACGGAGAAAGCUUUAUGCACCAUUGGAUGAGCCUGCACUUGAUUAGUUUGUUGGUGGGGUAAUGGCCUACCAAGACUGUGAUCAAUAGCUGAUUUGAGAGGAUGAUCAGCCACAUUGGGACUGAGACACGGCCCAAACUCCUACGGGAGGCAGCAGUGGGGAAUCUUGCACAAUGGAGGAAACUCUGAUGCAGCGAUGCCGCGUGAGUGAAGAAGGCCCUUGGGUUGUAAAGCUCUUUCGUCGGGGAAGAAAAUGACUGUACCCGAAUAAGAAGGUCCG